This 73-nucleotide transfer RNA is filed under the name Ailuropoda melanoleuca (giant panda). It matches the Rfam family "tRNA". Rfam says of the family: Transfer RNA (tRNA) molecules are approximately 80 nucleotides in length. Their secondary structure includes four short double-helical elements and three loops (D, anti-codon, and T loops). The record is from Rfam by way of RNAcentral. Lineage: Eukaryota; Metazoa; Chordata; Mammalia; Carnivora; Ursidae.
ACCCAGCUGGCUGAGUCAGAAAAGCAUGAGACUCUUGAUCUCAGGGUUGUGAGUUCAAGCCCUAUGUUGGGUA